Molecule: ribosomal RNA, 460 nt
Filed under: uncultured bacterium
Lineage: Bacteria
Description: partial 16S ribosomal RNA
Rfam family: Bacterial small subunit ribosomal RNA
Source: RNAcentral
CCUACGGGAGGCAGCAGUGAGGAAUAUUGGUCAAUGGGCGUAAGCCUGAACCAGCCAAGUCGCGUGAGGGAUGAAGGCUCUAUGGAUCGUAAACCUCUUUUAUAAGGGAAUAAAGGGUGGGACGUGUCCUAUUUUGUAUGUACCUUAUGAAUAAGGAUCGGCUAACUCCGUGCCAGCAGCCGCGGUAAUACGGAGGAUCCGAGCGUUAUCCGGAUUUAUUGGGUUUAAAGGGUGCGUAGGCGGUCUUUUAAGUUAGCGGUGAAAUCCUGUGGCUCAACCAUAGAAUUGCCGUUGAAACUGGGGGGCUUGAGAAUGUUUGCGGCAGGCGGAAUGCGUGGUGUAGCGGUGAAAUGCUUAGAUAUCACGCAGAACCCCGAUUGCGAAGGCAGCCUGCCAAGCCAUGACUGACGCUGAUGCACGAAAGCGUGGGGAUCAAACAGGAUUAGAUACCCGAGUAGUC